UGGGGAAUAUUGGACAAUGGGGGCAACCCUGAUCCAGCAAUGCCGCGUGUGUGAAGAAGGUCUUCGGAUUGUAAAGCACUUUCGACGGGGACGAUGAUGACGGUACCCGUAGAAGAAGCCCCGGCUAACUUCGUGCCAGCAGCCGCGGUAAUACGAAGGGGGCUAGCGUUGCUCGGAAUGACUGGGCGUAAAGGGCGUGUAGGCGGUUUACACAGUCAGAUGUGAAAUCCCCGGGCUUAACCUGGGAGCUGCAUUUGAUACGUGUAGACUAGAGUGUGAGAGAGGGUUGUGGAAUUCCCAGUGUAGAGGUGAAAUUCGUAGAUAUUGGGAAGAACACCGGUGGCGAAGGCGGCAACCUGGCUCAUGACUGACGCUGAGGCGCGAAAGCGUGGGGAGCAAACAGGAUUAGAUACCCUGGUAGUCCACGCUGUAAACGAUGUGUGCUAGAUGUUGGGUAACUUUGU
This 464-nucleotide ribosomal RNA is filed under the name uncultured bacterium. RNAcentral describes it as "partial 16S ribosomal RNA". It matches the Rfam family "Bacterial small subunit ribosomal RNA", at positions 355 to 836 of the family's 1533-position model. The record is from RNAcentral.